UUUCUCAGGUGCCUUUCACAAGUUUUCUGUGCAUCAGCACAAUGUCUCUGCCUUUGGGCCGUGGGGGUGUUUUGUACUGAGGAAGCCCAGGGUUGUGCCCAACAAAGCCAGCAGCACCCAGGCAAGCUGGAGUGCCAGGGGCCAGUGAGGAGAUGCUGGCACUCGGCAGGGAGAAUUCGGCCAGAGCAGUUUCUCUGUGAUUUUGGUCAGUUCAUGUCUGGGUGGGGACAGGGGAGAGUGCCUGGCCCUGCACUCCCCCACCUGCCCUCGGAGCCACUUGUCUCCUCCACCCACUCUGACCGGAUCUCGAGCUUCUUUCACAGAUUCCACUUUCUGUCCCCAAAGCCUCUCCUGCUGGGACAAGCCCUGCUCCAGCCUCUGUGUCCCUGGGGUGGGGAUGCUGGUGCCCAGCGCUGGGGCUGGCAGGGGCAGCCUGUGCCUGGGCCAGCGGGGGGCUGCAGGGGCAAUUAUUUGCCAUAUUGUGCUCUCGCUUGUGUUUAAAAACAACAACAGCUCAACUGACUCAUAGGUCCUACGGCCUCUGAGUCAUUUUUUAUUUCUGGAUUUCACUGCUCUGCCCUUUGCAAUGAAGGGAGUUGCAUGCUCACACACACACACACACACACACACACACACACAUAUCAAGUUCACAUUUGUUUUUCCCCUAUAAAAACAAAACGAUUUCCAUACCAUUAAUGAAACAGAAAUGGUUUGACUUCACGUACCCUGGCUUUUAUUUUCCAUUGUAUAAACUCUGCAGAUGAAAUAAUGAUGGUUGUAAAGUAAACCUCUCUUUUUUUUUUUUUUCCUUUCCCUUUCCAGGCAGCCUCUUUUCGAAAUAGCAAUAGGGAGUCACUUACAGACUUGGCUUGUGCUGCGCCUGUAGUAAUUAACCCCUUCAUCCCCAGCUUUCCCUCUGCUGGAAGUUAGCCACGGCGUGGGUGAAGGCAUCAGCAGGUCUCCUCUGGGACUAGAAGCAAAGCGGGGGAGCAGAGCAGGCGGGGAAAUGUGGGAAAGGAGGUCAAGAGCUGCUCCAGGCAGAGCAGUGGUGUGUGCCUGGAGCAAUGCACUCGUGGGCAGGACAGCUUUCCUGGGAGAGCCAGAGUGCUGGCACUGCAGGGCCAGAGGGCCGCUGUGAUUUUACGCAGCACUCGGAGGAGCAUCACUGGGGUGAGGUAACACCUCACACAGCAGCAGAGCCCGCUGGAGCUGGGCUGAGCUGCCCUCCCCACGAGGCUCUGAGCUCUCCUGACAGACCCCCACCAUCACACACGAUCUGCCUGUCUUCAAGGCCUCCACACGUGCCACAAGCGUUUUUCCUAAUCACAUUUAUCAUGCAGCAGCACAACCCUGCAUCCCCCAGCGCUGGAUCAGAUGCUUCACUGAUGCCUGGCCCUGGCGAGCUGGUGACACUGAGUUACUGUUCCUCUUCCCAGACUGGGUGAUGUGUUUUAUAUUAUUUCUCUUGGAUUUAUUGAGCAUUAUGUAACUGGCUAACCAAUCCCGCAUGCAAUGCAAUCGUGGCUGAUUUCAUGUCAGUGGAAAGUAAACAAAAAAAUUGCUCUGAAGUGGCUAAACUGAAAUUCAUUUCCACAUGCAGAGCAAUUCCUGGAGGAUCUUUCCCAUCUCCUCGUGGUUAAUUUGCAUCCAAGCUCUCAUGCAACCCAUUAGAAAAGAGUUAUGGAAAAAUUGCACAUAGAAUAUGACAGUGUGUUAUGAGGAAAAAUUAUUAAGAUGAAGUUUAUUUUACUUAAAUAUUUUUAAGUAAGUUUGCUGAUUUCUCCUGUGCCUUGAGAUGUGUGACACUUGCCUGUUUUUGUCUUUCAGCUGAGGAACUCAAAAUGUGAAAGUUACUGCCCAAAGAAAGUUUGGCACUAAAGUUUGAAAAACCAGGCAAGCCAACCCUGAGGUCCUGAAGCCCAGCAGGACCCAGCCCAACAGGACAAGGAAGAUGUUCUGCCCUUGCUGAGCUUUGGAAGCACUGCAAAUAUCAGGCUCUGCAUGAAUCCUGGAUUUCUGUGAGUAGAUGGAAUUGAAAUUGAAGGAUACCAUCCAAAUAGGUAAACACGUCAGAAACAUUAUCUGGGUCACAUUUGGGCACCAGGGUUCGCUCUGUUUUAAGUGCAAAUGGGUUAGUGAUGAUUUAGAUGAACUUCCUGAGGAGUGUUUGAAAUUCCUGGCACACAUUUGGUAUCCCAUCUGCUGGAAGGUCUUUGAUGAGCCCACAGAGAGACAUUGGACUGGAGCUGCUGCUCUUCAUCUCUGGUUGGACUUCUUGUGAUUGACCAGUUUGCAUUUUUUGCAUUUGUAUUACUUAGAUUCCCAAGGAGAGAAAGGGCUUGCAAGGGACUGUGUCACAAGCUGCUGGGGUAGAGAUGUUCUGUGAACUCUCCAUCCGUGUGCUGUCAUCAACUUGUUCCAACACUGCCAGCUCUUUAUGUCUGCUGAAACUAUUAUGUAGAGUCAAAUUUUGCCCUUGUUUAGGCCAGCUCUAACAGUAAUUAAGUAAUUUGUUCUGUCAGAGGGAACUUGAGGCUAGCUUGGGUUACAGAUACUAAAAACUUUCUGCCUUCUCCUGAAGUGUCCCAUGUUUAGCACAUAAUAAAUGGUGUCUUCUUCUCUUUUGUGCCCUUCUUCACUUGUUAAAAAUUAUCUUUUAAGGAAUUGUGUUGUAACUUACCAAAACACACUGCCUAGUAGGGUUGAAGUCAAACUGAAUAUUUUCCAUUUUUUAAAGCAGAAGAGAGCUAUGGUAGGAGGGCAGGGGGACUGCGAUUGGAAAGGAAUCUUUUUUAGAAAUGGAACCAGGAGUCCUAUUGACAGAGCCCGAAGUACUUUUUCUUUGUGCAUAGAAGUAACAGGAGCUUGUGUGUCUUUGCAAUGCCUCUCAAGAAAUCCCCCUUGCAGGAGAAGGAGAAGAUUCCCAUAAGUUCCAGCCCCUGGGCAGAGCUGCAGCACAGCUCCAGGGAGACUCAGCAGCUGGGGGAGAUGAGGUUCAGGGGGCAAAGCUGCUCUUCCAGCAUGGAAAAAAUAACAAAGCAAAUAUUCUCUAUUCCCCAUCUCCUGCUCUACAAUCUCAUCACUUUGCAUUAGUGCCCAGUCUUUUCAACUCAAUAUCCUGCCUCUGGACACCUCCUGAGACAUGCCACAAUCUGAAUAUGCUGAGCAGUGCUUCUGCCCAAGAGCUGCCUCCCAAGCCACAGCCUGUUGCAGAGCUGAUAGCCCUGGCCAGGGUGAAAGGAAGGCUCAGAUGUGAUGAUGCUGUUCUACAAGCAGGUGAGCACAGGACACAGAUACAAAACCACAGUAAAUGGUUGCUGAGACCUCACCCCCAAGCUAA
Long non-coding RNA from Passer montanus (Eurasian tree sparrow), 3340 nucleotides. RefSeq lists it as uncharacterized. Lineage: Eukaryota; Metazoa; Chordata; Aves; Passeriformes; Passeridae. The record is from RefSeq and is a predicted model, not a curated record. The transcript is spliced from 3 exons.